CAGCUGGUGACUGAGUAUUUAUCUCUAUGGCAGUUAUUCAAGCAGAGGACAAAUGCAGUUCACACAGAAGCAAUGCAGAGUGUGUAAGCUGCUGUUCCUAUACUUAUUUGAAAUCAAAUUUCAGACUGCAGUGUCUACAUCAGCUUCAUCAUAAAGCUCCGGGUGAAUAUUUAAAUAUGUCUGCACACGAAUUACAACAUUUAUGGGCAUUCUUACAGAGAGUGUUCCUGAUGAUAUUUCUGGAAAAGCAGUCCCAUAUACAGCAGAUAACAGUCUGAUAACCGCCAUGAUAACGUGUAGAGGUGGAAGAUGAGAAUAAAGUCAAACAGCCUGAUAUUUCAGAGGUUUCACGUGGUGAAAAUGCUUAGAAACUUGGUCAAGAAACACUGUGCUAGUGGAAGAGGACAGCCAUGCUAAGCUGGGAUGAUUAAAAAGGACAGAAGAGCAUAAUGUAUUGAUGACACUUCUUUGGAAAUCUGCACAGGUGUGACUCCAAAGCACAGACAUUAGCCAAAGACAAGAGCUUUGUCACUGUAGGAAUGUCUGAUACCUAGAAUCUCUGUUCUCCAGCUAUGUGAACUGAUGAAAAAUCAGUCCUUUGAGACUGUUGUCACCAAAGCAGAAAUUAAUAACAAACAAGAGUUCAGCUUUAAACUCUUGUGAAACUGAGUAUUUAGGAUCCAUUGAUGGGAUCUAAAUGCUUAUCAUAGCAUUCAUCAAGCAUCAUUCUCUUCUGCGUCAUCCAGAUGUUGGGUUCAUCAUCUAUAGAAGAGGUUAUGGUUAUACAAAUCAUUGUCAGUCCAUCUGGCAGCUCCACAAACUUUAUUGCAGAGUAGCCAAAAAUUAACCUGAAACCACAAUCAGUUUUACUCUGAAGAGAUCUUAGUUAACUUCAGUAUCCUAAAUUAUGAAAUUGUUUUUUAGAGAGAACUCUUAAGCCCAUGUAGCUGUAAAAUGACUCUAGCAUGUGAUUGUGAAAUUGUGAAAAUAUGGGAAAGCAUUUUAGUGAAGGCUGAGGAAGAGAAUACUCUUCAUGUAAAGAAGAAGCCAAAGAAGGGGACGACUGUCAGAGCAAAACAGGUACCACUCCUGCCUCCAGUGCAGAUUAAGUAGGAAGUGAAUCAGCACACCACUGGUUCUGGAGGAUGAUAGUUGUGAUCUGAAGAACUUGUAGGCAUCCAAAGGAAGCCACUUUGGGUUAAAUCUGAUGCUGUUUUUAAAGCAUUUCCAAAUCUUGCUGAUAAAGACUGAGUUUGCUCCAUGAGGGCCUUGCAGGCAAAAGUGAGGGUUGUCUUUCCAUGACAUUGUCAUAUGAUGGAGAUACUACGAAAUGGAUUUGUUUUGUCUGGUUUUGUUUGUUUGUUUUUUAAAUAUACUCCCUUUAAUUAACUUUGGACUGGCAUUGACGUGAGCUUUGGAAAUAUUUUUCUGUAUCAUUUUUGCACUAGUAAGCCUACACAUUCUGGUCGCUUCUGAAAAUACAAAA
Molecule: long non-coding RNA, 1486 nt
Organism: Coturnix japonica (Japanese quail)
Lineage: Eukaryota; Metazoa; Chordata; Aves; Galliformes; Phasianidae
Source: RefSeq, a predicted model, not a curated record